UUCAAUAUUACCUUUAAAACGUAAUGUGCACUUUUCUCUUAGUAAGACGCCGUGAUCCAUUAGAAAUUGAUACAUACAAAAUGUAUAUUGGGUCAUCAAUAGGCCAAUAUGAAGUUUUUCGGAACAAAUGGCAUCAUCAUUAACGAUUGUGUGUAUUGUCUGAUUAGCAUGUUGUGUCCUGUAAUGACUGUCUGAUGGGUUUUAAAGACUGUUAUCAAUGAUGUUUCGGCAUCACUCUCUCACGAGAGAUAUGAUACAUGUCUGAUCAACGGCGGUUCAAUUUGGGAUACCUUUUGGACCCGUCUUGAAACACGGACCAAGGAGUCUAUCUAGUAUGCGAGUAAAUGGAUAGUUAAUGAAAUCUAUUUGCGUAAUAAACUUGACUGUUUUUAUAUGGGAAUACGAGAUAUACUCUAACAAGUGUUUAUCUCUUCCAUCCCGGGGUAUUUUUAUCAACAUAUGCUUGCAUAUGGAAAAUAUACCAUGAGCACACUGGAUACGACCCGAAAGAUGGUGAACUAUGCCUGAUCAGGUCGAAGUCAGGGGAAACCCUGAUGGAGGACCGAAGCAGUUCUGACGUGCAAAUCG
RNAcentral lists this ribosomal RNA (588 nucleotides) under Kiefferulus barbatitarsis. RNAcentral describes it as "eukaryotic LSU rRNA". It matches the Rfam family "Eukaryotic large subunit ribosomal RNA", at positions 451 to 900 of the family's 3401-position model. Lineage: Eukaryota; Metazoa; Arthropoda; Insecta; Diptera; Chironomidae. The record is from RNAcentral.